UCUACAGUCAGAGCUCGCGAAAUAAGGUGGAACGUAAGGGAGACACCAUUUACAAAACUUGUAAGGGCGUAAUAACUAGUUUGUGAAAGACCCAGAGAAACACAAAUAUACGACGAAACAAAAUCCCGGACGUUUUUGGAAUCUCUGCCGGACGCAUUUUUUAGGUCUCAAAAAGAGGACAUGUCCGGGGAAAAGAGGACGUUUGGUCCCCCUACUUAAACAGUCUGAUAACUCUGUCCUCGCAGCAGCUAACGAUGGCUCACCGCUUGUGUAGCUACAGCAGCUAGCUAGCCAUCUACCUUCUAUUCGUAUUUAUUUCUCUACACAAUAGAAAAGCGAUGCGCUCUCGUGCCUCCUGCAGCUCUUCUGUGUUGCACGUCAAUACUUUGAGACAAACAAGGAGCGUCAAUCUAACGUAAAUGCUUUUCAAUAAAUGUCUUUAGUUCCUGCACAAUGAACAUGAAUCUCAAAUUAAAUGAUUAAUAUUCCCCAAAUUCCAAUUAACUACACUUCCGCUGUUACAGAGGGGAAACACUGUAAUCAUACUGUAAACUUUCAAAAGUUCAUAUAUUGUGCAUAGUUUGAAGUGAAAAAGAACUUUUCUUCAAUUGUGUUUGGUUUCAGGCUCUGUUUAGGAUCGGUAUCGGAAAAACCCAAACGAUACUCAUCCCUACUGUCAUGUGACAUGUCUGCGCGCUGAAGCUAAAGCCAGCCGCUAGUUAGCUUAGCAUGAAGACUGGAGACAAGAGGGCUCGAAGGGAUGUUUAAAAAUCCGGAUUCAACAGUUUACAAAUUUCCGACUUGAUGAAACAAUGGACAAAAAUCGUUCUUUAUUUAUUCUUAAAGUGUUUGCUUUUAAGAUCAAGAUGGGGUCAUAGAAAAAAACAAGUAGAGCAAAGUGUUUUAUGCACCAUGUCAAGUGGAUGAGCUCCAUCAAUACAAAUACACCGUCCACACACACACAUUUACUCUAAAGGCUCAUUUGCAUAUUGUAGAUACCUUCACUGUAACCAUAGAGACGUUACAUCAUGAUGGAACCUUUCUCCAUGUUCCAUGUUCCAUGUUCUAUGAUCCGUUCACCACAGCAUAAGAACACAGUCUGUUGCACAUCCAGUCAGUCAGUUUCAAAGCUCGCAUCUACACACUGAAGUUUUCCGGACCUACACUUGCAGAAAGCAACCAUGUAAUGCCUCAGGAGUCUGUAGAGGGGAAGAAGACGCGUUCUGCUGCACUUAACAGAGCUCAAGACCAACGGGACGCCAUCAGGACGCCACGCCAUCAGGACACCAACGUCAUCGGGACGCUACGUCAUCGGGACACCAUCAGGACGCCACGUCAUCGGGACGCCAUCAGGACACCACGUCAUCGGGACGCCAUCAGGACGCCAUCGGGACGCCGCGUCAACCCCUCAGGAGCAAAUCCAGAUCUACUCAUGACACACACACCCACACACACACACACACACACACGCACACACACAGAUGUACUCACAGACACACUAACAUUUGGUUCUAAACAAAGACACACACUAAUAAUUAGAUGUACACAAAGACAUAUUAAUAUUUAGAUGUACACACAGACACACUAACAAUUAGAUGUACACACAGACACACUAACAUUUGGUUCUAAACAAAGACACACACUAAUAGUUAGAUGUACACAAAGACACAAUAACAAUUAGAUAUACACACAGACACACUAUCAUUUGGUUCUAAACAAAGACACACACUAAUAUUUAGAUGUACACAAAGACACAAUAGCAAUUAGAUGUACACACAGACACACUAUCAUUUGGUUCUAAACUAAGACACACUAAUAUGUAGAUGUGCACAAAGACAUAUUAAUAUUUAGAUGUACACACAGGCACACUAUCAUUUUGUUCUAAACAAAGACACACACUAAUAUUUAGAUGUACACAAAGACACAAUAACAAUUAGAUGUACACACAAACACACUAACAAUUAGAUCUACACACAGACACACUAACAAUUAGAUCUACACACAGACACACUAUCAUUUGGUUCAAAACAAAGACACGCACUAAUAUUUAGAUUUACACAAAGACACAUUAAUAUUUAGAUGUACACACAGACACACAAACAAUUAGAUGUACACACAGACACACACUAACAUUUAGAUGUACACAAAGACACACACUAAUAUUUAGAUGUACACAAAGACAUAUUAAUAUUUAGAUGUACACACAGACACACUAACAUUUAGAUGUACACACAGACACACUAACAAUUAGAUGUACACACAGACACACUAACAACAUUAACAUGUUAAUAACUUUUCUCCUUUUCUCUCUUCUCAGGAACUGCUUCAGAUGUUUUCCCAAUGAUUGUGUUAUUAUUAUUGUUAAAUAUGUCGUCUGUUCAUUAUUUAACAAUGAAAAUAAAUUUUAAUAAAAAUAAAACCAAA
Long non-coding RNA from Gasterosteus aculeatus aculeatus (three-spined stickleback), 2424 nucleotides. Lineage: Eukaryota; Metazoa; Chordata; Actinopteri; Perciformes; Gasterosteidae. The record is from Ensembl.